RNAcentral lists this ribosomal RNA (485 nucleotides) under Oxyderces bimaculatus. RNAcentral describes it as "partial 16S ribosomal RNA". The stretch from base 351 to 485 matches the Rfam family "Bacterial large subunit ribosomal RNA", at positions 2473 to 2608 of the family's 2925-position model. Lineage: Eukaryota; Metazoa; Arthropoda; Insecta; Coleoptera; Curculionidae. The record is from RNAcentral.
UGAGUAUUUGAAUGGCUGCGGUAAUUUGACCGUGCAAAGGUAGCAUAAUNNUUNNUUUUUUAAUUGAAAGCUGGAAUGAAGGGUUGAAUGAAAAAAUAACUGUCUCUAUUUAAAUUAUUUAAAAUUUUAUUUUUAAGUAAAAAAGCUUAAAUGAGGAUAGAAGACGAGAAGACCCUAUAGAGUUUCAUUUAUUUUAAUAAAAAAAUUUUUUUUAGGGUAAAAAAUAAUUUUUUAUUACAAUGAAUUUAAUUGGGGUGAUUUAAAAAUUAAAUUAACUUUUUUUUUAUUUUUACAUUUAUUUAUGAAUAAAUGAUCCUUAUUUAAAGAUUAAAAGAAAGAAUUACCUUAGGGAUAACAGCGUAAUCUUUUUAGAGAGUUCAAAUCGAAAAAAAGGGUUGCGACCUCGAUGUUGGAUUAAAAUUUAACUUUGGUGUAGAAGCUAGAGAGUUAGGUCUGUUCGACCUUUANAAUUUUACUUGAUCUGA